RNAcentral lists this ribosomal RNA (500 nucleotides) under uncultured bacterium. Its description in RNAcentral is "partial 16S ribosomal RNA". It matches the Rfam family "Bacterial small subunit ribosomal RNA", at positions 30 to 523 of the family's 1533-position model. The record is from RNAcentral.
AUUGAACGCUGGCGGAAUGCUUUACACAUGCAAGUCGAACGGCAGCACGGACUUCGGUCUGGUGGCGAGUGGCGAACGGGUGAGUAAUGUAUCGGAACGUGCCCAGUCGUGGGGGAUAACGUAGUGAAAAUUACGCUAAUACCGCAUACGAUCUAUGGAUGAAAGCGGGGGAUCGCAAGACCUCGCGCGAUUGGAGCGGCCGAUAUCAGAUUAGGUAGUUGGUGGGGUAAAGGCCCACCAAGCCAACGAUCUGUAGCUGGUCUGAGAGGACGACCAGCCACACUGGAACUGAGACACGGUCCAGACUCCUACGGGAGGCAGCAGUGGGGAAUUUUGGACAAUGGGCGAAAGCCUGAUCCAGCCAUUCCACGUGCAGGAUGAAGGCCCUCGGGUUGUAAACUGCUUUUGUACAGAACGAAAAGGUUUCUACUAAUACUAGGAGCUCAUGACGGUACUAUAAGAAUAAGCACCGGCUAACUACGUGCCAGCAGCCGCAGUAA